GGCCGAGUACGCAAACAGGCAAAGCGGCGAGGUCGAGAAUCUCGUGAUUUUGCAGGUUCGAUUCCUGCCUCGGUCA
RNAcentral lists this transfer RNA (76 nucleotides) under Rhodopirellula sp. RNAcentral describes it as "tRNA-Leu". It matches the Rfam family "tRNA". Rfam says of the family: Transfer RNA (tRNA) molecules are approximately 80 nucleotides in length. Their secondary structure includes four short double-helical elements and three loops (D, anti-codon, and T loops). The record is from RNAcentral. Lineage: Bacteria; Pseudomonadati; Planctomycetota; Planctomycetia; Pirellulales; Pirellulaceae.